RNAcentral lists this ribosomal RNA (468 nucleotides) under uncultured bacterium. RNAcentral describes it as "partial 16S ribosomal RNA". It matches the Rfam family "Bacterial small subunit ribosomal RNA", at positions 28 to 507 of the family's 1533-position model. The record is from RNAcentral.
GACGAACGCUGGCGGCGUGCUUAACACAUGCAAGUCGAACGGAAAGGCCCUGCUUUUGUGGGGUGCUCGAGUGGCGAACGGGUGAGUAACACGUGAGUAACCUGCCCUUGACUUUGGGAUAACUUCAGGAAACUGGGGCUAAUACCGGAUAGGAGCUCCUGCUGCAUGGUGGGGGUUGGAAAGUUUCGGCGGUUGGGGAUGGACUCGCGGCUUAUCAGCUUGUUGGUGGGGUAGUGGCUUACCAAGGCUUUGACGGGUAGCCGGCCUGAGAGGGUGACCGGCCACAUUGGGACUGAGAUACGGCCCAGACUCCUACGGGCGGCAGCAGUGGGGAAUAUUGCACAAUGGGCGGAAGCCUGAGGCAGCAACGCCGCGUGCGGGAUGACGGCCUUCGGGUUGUAAACCGCUUUCGCCUGUGACGAAGCGUGAGUGACGGUAAUGGGUAAAGAAGCACCGGCUAACUACGUG